Molecule: ribosomal RNA, 494 nt
Filed under: uncultured bacterium
Lineage: Bacteria
Description: partial 16S ribosomal RNA
Rfam family: Bacterial small subunit ribosomal RNA
Source: RNAcentral
GACGAACGCUGGCGGCGUGCCUAAUACAUGCAAGUAGAACGCUGAAGGAGGAGCUUGCUUCUCUGGCUGAGUUGCGAACGGGUGAGUAACGCGUAGGUAACCUGCCUGGUAGCGGGGGAUAACUAUUGGAAACGAUAGCUAAUACCGCAUAAUAUUGACUAUUGCAUGAUAGUCAGUUGAAAGGUGCAACUGCACCACUACCAGAUGGACCUGCGUUGUAUUAGCUAGUUGGUGGGGUAACGGCUCACCAAGGCGACGAUACAUAGCCGACCUGAGAGGGUGAUCGGCCACACUGGGACUGAGACACGGCCCAGACUCCUACGGGAGGCAGCAGUAGGGAAUCUUCGGCAAUGGACGGAAGUCUGACCGAGCAACGCCGCGUGAGUGAAGAAGGUCUUCGGAUCGUAAAGCUCUGUUGGAAGGGAAGAACGGGUGUGAGAGUGGAAAGCGCAGACUGGAAGGGAAUCUUACCAGAAAGGCACGGCUAAUUACGU